Molecule: ribosomal RNA, 207 nt
Filed under: uncultured bacterium
Lineage: Bacteria
Description: partial 16S ribosomal RNA
Rfam family: Bacterial small subunit ribosomal RNA
Source: RNAcentral
CACGUAGGCGGUUCGGUUAGUCUGAUGUGAAAGCCCAUGACUUAAUCAUGGAAGUGCAUUGGAUACUGCCAGACUAGAGUACAGGAGGGGUGAGCGGAAUUCCAGGUGUAGAGGUGAAAUUCGUAGAUAUCUGGAGGAACAACGGCGGCGAAGGCGGCUCACUGGACUGUAACUGGCGCUGAGGUGCGAAAGCGUGGGGAGCGAACG